ACCAUUAAAGAGCUGCGGAAAAUAUACUUUGCUAUAAUUAAAAAUAUACAUUUUUUACAGAUCAUCGUAACAUAAUAUAUUGAAACACAAUAAUUUACCAACAAAAUAUUUGAAUAAUAUUUUUCUGUUUUGCUCACAAGGAUAGGUUAGUGGAUUGAAGUGGCGAAGGCUGUGCUCUGUAUAGCUACUUUUCGGCCAUUACCUGAGUAUACAAUACUGUUGCAGGAAUAAUGUCCCCUUCAGAAGCACGAGUGCCGUCGAUGGGAGACCGGCAGAGCACUUUUGCGCAGGACGUGUAAUAUAAUGCGUGUAUGUGGCACAUGUUGGAGAUGCACGUGGACGGCUAAGCGUGAUGACUCAUGACAGGUCCGCCAUAGCGGACGAGCACGUUAAUAAACAUUCCAUAAACGUUAACUCGCGCUGACGUGUCACCGGCAAAAGAUCCAUGACGAACAAGGAGUUAGGAGACGUAAUUUUACGGUGGAAAUGAAGAAACUAUUAUUAUUAUUAUUACUGCUACGGGCGGAAGAAGCUAUUUUAGAACGUUCGAAUAAACACGACGAACAAAUAAGAGUUAUUGUGAAACUGUUAUUUAAGCACUCGCGGAAGCCCCGUUGCUGCAGUUGUUGUUAUAUAGUCGUGUAUUUAUGGAAGUAGAAGAUGUUAAUCACAAAGGACGAAUUAAGUCUAACCGUCGGUUUUAAUCAUAUUGUUAAAAGCGAACAAGCUAUGCAAGAUAAACUUCUGAAAAAUACAAUAUCGUAAUAAUAUUUAUUUCUCGAGGUAGAUAUAAUUAUAAUAUGGUGGAUGUACAAUAAUAUCACAAUUAUUUCAAAUAAAAAAAGUAAUAAAAUAUCAUCAAGUCUGACGGUUUGUGGAAAACAAAUAAGGUCAAUUAGUUUUAAUUUUUUUGAGUGAAAUACAAUUUACCAAUUAAAAAGAGUAAAAAGAACUGUAACGAAAUAAUAAUACAACGUAAGGUAUAAAAUUACUCACAGAAUAUCUGCGGAAAUGUAAUGUGAUCGACUGCUAUGAAUUGAGCCAAUUUGACGAAACAAAUCCUAUUUGAUUGUCGUACUGGUGUGGUGGUGGGGAAAGAGAGAGGGUAUUUGGACGAGGCUGUCCUCCCUCCAAGAUUGUUUGAAGCAAAUUCAGGCUU
Molecule: long non-coding RNA, 1159 nt
Organism: Myzus persicae (green peach aphid)
Lineage: Eukaryota; Metazoa; Arthropoda; Insecta; Hemiptera; Aphididae
Exons: 4
Source: RefSeq, a predicted model, not a curated record